This 415-nucleotide ribosomal RNA is filed under the name uncultured bacterium. RNAcentral describes it as "bacterial SSU rRNA". It matches the Rfam family "Bacterial small subunit ribosomal RNA", at positions 89 to 501 of the family's 1533-position model. The record is from RNAcentral.
UUUGGGGGGCAGUACGGGUGCGUAACGCGUAGGAAUCUGCCUAUUAGUGGGGGACAACUUAGGGAAACUUAAGCUAAUACCGCAUACGCCCUACGGGGGAAAGGAGGGGACCUUCGGGCCUUUCGCUAAUAGAUGAGCCUGCGUUGGAUUAGCUAGUUGGUGGGGUAAAGGCCUACCAAGGCGACGAUCCAUAGCUGGUCUGAGAGGACGAUCAGCCACACUGGGACUGAGACACGGCCCAGACUCCUACGGGAGGCAGCAGUGGGGAAUAUUGGACAAUGGGCGAAAGCCUGAUCCAGCAAUACCGCGUGUGUGAAGAAGGCCUUAGGGUUGUAAAGCACUUUCAAUUGGAAGGAAAAACUCAUGGCCAAUACCCAUGAGCUUGACAUUACCUUUAGAAGAAGCACCGGCUAAC